AUGCUGCUCAAAUCAUACUCAUCAGCCUUCCUGUUAAACGGCGACCCUGGCGUCCCUCUCAUCCACCGCCGUGGGCUGCGGCAAGGAGACCCGUUGUCCCCGCUGUUGUUUAUCCUUGCCAUUGACAUCCUCCACCGGCUCAUAACAAAAGCUGCUGACGACGGCAUUCUUGCCCCGCUACCUGGAAGAGAACUGAAACUGCGCACCAACAUGUACGCUGAUGAUGCUGUCAUCUUCGCAAACCCAGUUCGGGAAGAGCUCGACAAACUAUUUCAGAUCAUCACCAGCUUUGGAGAAGCCUCAGGCCUUCACCUCAACAUCAGCAAGUGCACCAUCACGCCCAUUCGCUGUGACCACCUUAACCUUCAGGAAGUUCUGCAUGCGUUUGGCGGACAGAUUGUUGCCUUCCCAAUACGUUACUUGGGAUUACCAAUAAGCCUCGGACGUGCCAAAAUCGUUCACUUUCAGUUCAUCCUGGACCGCAUCCGAGCUUGUCUCGCUGGCUGGAAGCAUAAACUGAUGAAUAUCGCAGGGAGAAGAGUGCUUGUUCGGAGCGUUCUCUCGGCGAUCCCAACCUUUGCGCUCUCUGUUCUUCGGCCACCAAAGCUUCUAUUCAGAGAGAUUGAUAAAGACCACAGAAAAUUUCUUUGGACUCGAGAAGAAGAGCUUACUGGUGGCAAAUGCAAGGUUGCCUGGAAGCAAGUUUGUACGCCGACGGAAUACGGAGGCCUUGGCAUCCACGACCUACAGAAUUUCUCUCGCGCUUUGCGACUCAGAUGGUUGUGGCUGUCAUGGCAAACUGAUGGCAGACCUUGGAAGGGCUCGGACCUACCCUGCGACAAGGAUGACAAAGCCUUGUUCGACCAUGCAACCUUUGUAACUCUUGGAAACGACAGAACAGCUAACUUCUGGCAAUCCCCAUGGAUCACCUCUCCAAGCCUUGCCACUCUGUUUCCAGGACUGUUCAAGCGAUCACGGGGCAAAAACAGAUGCGUUGCUGAUGCACUUGAGAAUGACAAAUGGGUGCUGGACUUGAAGAUACGACCCAACGAGAACCCGAUUCACAGCUUCAUCAUCCUAUGGAGAGCACUGCGGGCCGAAGCAAUAUCGCUGCAACCUCAAGUGGAUGAUAAAAUCUCCUGGCAUCUUCACAGCGCGGGCGUGUACAGUGCAAAAUCUGCUUACAAAGAGCAAUUCAGCAGCUUACAGAAGACAGACGACAAACACCUGAUAUGGAAAACAUGGGCACCUGGGAACUUAAAAGUCUUCUUCUGGCUCUUGCUCAAAAACCGUCUUUGGUGCAACGAUCGACUCCAACGCAGAGGAUGGGAGAAUGGUUACUUCUGCGCUCUUUGCACAAGAAGCCUUGAGACGUCAGUACAUCUCUUCUGGGAGUGCCCGGUCAGUAAGGAAAUAUGGCGAAGGAUCUCGGCCUGGCAUGAAUGUGACAGACUACGGCGCCUUACCGCCCCCUCAAAUCACAACACCUCCUCCAUUUGCAUCAUGCGCAGCCUCAUUCAACAAUCAAGACCAAGACUCAGAGAAAAGCUCAAGACAAUGAUCUUCCUCGUCACAUGGCACAUUUGGAAGGAG
RNAcentral lists this ribosomal RNA (1593 nucleotides) under Triticum aestivum (bread wheat). Its description in RNAcentral is "partial small subunit ribosomal RNA". The record is from RNAcentral. Lineage: Eukaryota; Viridiplantae; Streptophyta; Magnoliopsida; Poales; Poaceae.